RNAcentral lists this ribosomal RNA (357 nucleotides) under uncultured bacterium. RNAcentral's name for it is "bacterial SSU rRNA". It matches the Rfam family "Bacterial small subunit ribosomal RNA", at positions 572 to 933 of the family's 1533-position model. The record is from RNAcentral.
UAGGCGGAUUUCAANUUUUUGUGAAUUUNAUGGNUCAACCAUNAACUGCNUGAGAAACUGAUAUUUUAGAGUGAGGGAGAGGCAGAUGGAAUUGGUGGUGUAGGGGUAAAAUCCGUAGAGAUCACCAGGAAUACCCAUUGCGAAGGCGAUUUGCUGGAACUUAACUGACGCUAAUGCGUGAAAGCGUGGGAGCAAACAGGAUUAGAUACCCUGGUAGUCCACGCCCUAAACGAUGUAUACUAGUUGUUGCUGUGCUAGUCAUGGCAGUAAUGCACCUAACGGAUUAAGUAUACCGCCUGGGGAGUACGGUCGCAAGAUUAAAACUCAAAGGAAUAGACGGGGACCCGCACAAGCGGU